Molecule: ribosomal RNA, 516 nt
Filed under: uncultured Capnodiales
Lineage: Eukaryota; Fungi; Ascomycota; Dothideomycetes; Capnodiales
Description: eukaryotic LSU rRNA
Rfam family: 5.8S ribosomal RNA (bases 177-330)
Source: RNAcentral
UGCGGAGGGAUCAUUACUGAGUGAGGGCUCCGGCCCGACCUCCAACCCUUUUGUCGACCAACACCUGUUGCCUCGGGGGUGGUCCGGCCCCGGCCAUGACGCCGGGACCCGGGUGCCCCCAGAGGACCAUCUCAACUCUGUAUCUGUACGUCGGAGUCUUUGAUGAAAUCAAUCAAAACUUUCAACAACGGAUCUCUUAGUUCUGGCAUCGAUGAAGAACGCAGCGAAAUGCGAUAAGUAAUGUGAAUUGCAGAAUUCAGUGAAUCAUCGAAUCUUUGAACGCACAUUGCGCCCUUUGGCAUUCCGAGGGGCAUGCCUGUUCGAGCGUCAUUACACCACUCAAGCCUGGCUUGGUAUUGGGCGACGGGACCUCCCCGCGCCUCCAUUUCUCCGGCUGGACGACCCGAUUCUCAGCGUUGUGACAAGCAAUUCGCGAGGGGAGAGGGACGGCCGCGCCGUUAAAAACUUCUAUUCUAGGUUGACCUCGGAUCAGGUAGGGAUACCCGCUGAACUUAA